Molecule: non-coding RNA, 542 nt
Rfam family: Eukaryotic large subunit ribosomal RNA
GCUUUUGAUUCUUCGAUGUCGGCUCUUCCUAUCAUUGCGAAGUAGAACUCGCCAAUUGUUGGAUUGUUCACCCACUAAUAGGGGAACGUGAGCUGGGUUUAGACCGUCGUGAGACAGGUUAGUUUUACCCUACUGAUGAGUUCGUUGUCUAAACAGUAAUCCAACCCAGUACGAGAGGAACCGUUGGUUCAGAUAAUUGGUAACUGCGGUUAGCUGAAAAGCUAGUGCCGCCAAGCUACCAUCUGUAGGAUUAUGGCUGAACGCCUCUAAGUCAGAAUCCAUGCUGGAAUAGACGAUAAUCACCUUUCCCGAUGUACCGCGAAUAGCGAUAGGUGUCUUCUGGGCACCCAACAUCAUACAAUUGCAACGCACUCCUCUGCCUGUCAAGUACUGGUGGUGGUGAGUAGGCUGAUUUGUAAUUUCAAAUAUUGGGAAAGAUAAAUCCUUUGUAGACGACUUAACUAAAGAACGGGGUGUUGUAAGCAUGAGAGUAGUCUUGUACUACGAUCUGCUGAGAUUUAGCCCUUGUUCUAUUGAUUUGU